AGUGAACGCUGGCGGUAGGCCUAACACAUGCAAGUCGAACGGCAGCACAGUAAGAGCUUGCUCUUACGGGCGGCGAGUGGCGGACGGGUGAGGAAUACAUCGGAAUCUACUUUUUCGUGGGGGAUAACGUAGGGAAACUUACGCUAAUACCGCAUACGACCUACGGGUGAAAGCAGGGGAUCUUCGGACCUUGCGCGAUUGAAUGAGCGGAUGUCGGAUUAGCUAGUUGGCGGGGUAAAGGCCCACCAAGGCGACGAUCCGUAGCUGGUCUGAGAGGAUGAUCAGCCACCCUGGACAUGAGCCACGCUCCAGCCCCCUACGGGAGGCAGCAGUGGGGAAUCUUGGACAAUGGGCGAAAGCCUGAUCCAGCCAUACCGCGUGGGUGAAGAGGGCCUUCGGGUUGUAAAGCCCUUUUGUUGGGAAGAAAAGCAGCAGGUUAAUACCCCGCUGUUCUGACGGUACCCAAAGAAUAAGCACCGGCUAACUUCGUG
This 491-nucleotide ribosomal RNA is filed under the name uncultured bacterium. RNAcentral describes it as "partial 16S ribosomal RNA". It matches the Rfam family "Bacterial small subunit ribosomal RNA", at positions 29 to 507 of the family's 1533-position model. The record is from RNAcentral.